RNAcentral lists this ribosomal RNA (669 nucleotides) under Desulfotalea sp. PR6_G06. RNAcentral describes it as "bacterial SSU rRNA". It matches the Rfam family "Bacterial small subunit ribosomal RNA", at positions 104 to 763 of the family's 1533-position model. Lineage: Bacteria; Pseudomonadati; Thermodesulfobacteriota; Desulfobulbia; Desulfobulbales; Desulfocapsaceae. The record is from RNAcentral.
GGGUGAGUAACGCGUAAGUAAUCUACCCUGAUAUCUGGGAUAACAAUUCGAAAGGAUUGCUAAUACCGGAUACGCUGAUUUAUCAGGAAAGGUGGCCUCUUCAUGAAAGCUACUGUAUCAGGAGGAGCUUGCGUACCAUUAGCUAGUUGGUGGGGUAAUGGCCUACCAAGGCGACGAUGGUUAGCGGGUCUGAGAGGAUGAUCCGCCACACUGGAACUGAAACACGGACCAGACUCCUACGGGAGGCAGCAGUGAGGAAUAUUGCGCAAUGGGGGAAACCCUGACGCAGCGACGCCGCGUGGAUGAUGAAGGCUUUCGGGUCGUAAAAUCCUGUCAGAUGGGAAGAAAUGCUAUGAGGCUAAUACCCUUGUAGUUUGACGGUACCAUCAAAGGAAGCACCGGCUAACUCCGUGCCAGCAGCCGCGGUAAUACGGAGGGUGCAAGCGUUGUUCGGAAUUACUGGGCGUAAAGCGCGCGUAGGCGGCCUUUUAAGUCAGAUGUGAAAGUCCACGGCUCAACCGUGGAAGUGCAUUUGAUACUGGGAGGCUUGAGUACUGGAGGGGAUGGUGGAAUUCCCGGUGUAGAGGUGAAAUUCGUAGAUAUCGGGAGGAAUACCGGUGGCGAAGGCGACCAUCUGGCCAGAUACUGACGCUGAGGUGCGAAAGCGUG